GCCGGGCAUGGUGGCUCAUGCUUGUAAUCCCAGCACUUUGGGAGGCAGAGGCAGGUGGAUCACCUGAGGUCAGGAGUUUGAGACCAGCCUGGCCAACAUGGUGAAACCCUGUCUCUA
RNAcentral lists this small RNA (117 nucleotides) under Pongo abelii (Sumatran orangutan). RNAcentral describes it as "Metazoan signal recognition particle RNA (ENSPPYG00000036864.1)". Lineage: Eukaryota; Metazoa; Chordata; Mammalia; Primates; Hominidae. The record is from Rfam by way of RNAcentral.